Long non-coding RNA from Mauremys reevesii (Reeves's turtle), 407 nucleotides. RefSeq lists it as uncharacterized. The transcript is spliced from 3 exons. The record is from RefSeq and is a predicted model, not a curated record. Lineage: Eukaryota; Metazoa; Chordata; Testudines; Geoemydidae.
AGAGGGUGGUCACCCCGCUACAGUUGCCUAGUGGGAUUUACAACAGCACCUAAAUUCCUGGAUGUUUACUGGAACACCACUGGGUACCGUUGACAACAACUCCAGAGAGUACUAUGCCACUGAACUUCAAUUAGUAGUGAAAUAUAACCACCAACCCCUGAAUCAGUAUGCAGUGAUGACUCCUGCUGCUGGAAAGGCAUUUUGCAGAUGAUGAUGGAGGAAUUGCCCGGCACUCAGGGACUCUAUGGAUGAGACUCUGAUCUCUGUUACACCAGUGUAAAUCAAAAGCAGUGACUCUGAUUUCAGUGAUGUUUUCUCUGUUUCUCUGGAUAGAAUAUAACCAGAAGAGAUUGUGUAUUGCAUGUGAGUUUAUGCUGCUAAUGGCUUCACCCUCCACAUUAAAUUGG